GCCGGGCCUGGUGGCGGGCGCCUGUAGUCCCAACUGCUCUGGAGGCUGAGGUAGGAGAAUGGUGUGAACCCAGGAGGCGGAGCUUGCAGUGAGCCGAGAGUGCACCACUGCGCCCCAGCCUGGGUGACAGAGCGAGACUCCGUUUCUUUUUUUUUUUUUUGAGACGGAGUCUGGCUCUGUCACCCAGGCCGGAGUGCAGUGGUACGAUCUCGGCUCACUGCAAGCUCCGCCUCCGGGUUUACGCCAUUCUCCUGCCUCAG
This 260-nucleotide small RNA is filed under the name Macaca fascicularis (crab-eating macaque). RNAcentral's name for it is "Metazoan signal recognition particle RNA (ENSMFAG00000053379.1)". Lineage: Eukaryota; Metazoa; Chordata; Mammalia; Primates; Cercopithecidae. The record is from RNAcentral.